RNAcentral lists this ribosomal RNA (477 nucleotides) under uncultured bacterium. RNAcentral describes it as "partial 16S ribosomal RNA". It matches the Rfam family "Bacterial small subunit ribosomal RNA", at positions 28 to 507 of the family's 1533-position model. The record is from RNAcentral.
GAUUAACGCUGGCGGCGUGCCUAACACAUGCAAGUCGAACGAUGAAACUUAGUCGACUUCUUCGGAAAGACACUAAGCGGAGUAGUGGCGAACGGGUGAGUAACUCGUGAGUAACCUGCCUUACACAAGGGGAUAGCCUUUGGCAACGAAGAAUAAUACCCUAUAAAACCAUACAAGCACUUGCUAGACUGGUCAAAGUGAUAGCAGUGUAAGAUGGACUUGCGUCUGAUCAGCUAGUUGGUGAGAUAAAAGCUCACCAAGGCAACGAUCAGUAGCCGGCUGGGGAGAGUGUACGGCACCAUUGGGACUGGGACACGGCCCAGACUCCGACGGAAGGCAGCAGGGGGGAAUUUGGCACAAUGGGGGAAACCCUGAUGCAGCGACGCCGCGGAAUUUAGAAGGCCUUCGGGUUGUAAAAAUCUUUUGUAUAGGAAGAAAAUGACAGUACUAUACGAAUAAGGUCCGGCUAAUUACGUG